GCUUUGAAAUUUCAUGUGCCAACAUUUUUAAAGCUAAAACCCCAGGGACAGAGAUCAAGCUGCAUUCAGCAAUGUUUGAAACUAGCUUUAUCUUCCAACUUUUUCAAGCUAAAACCAGUGUAUUAUCAGGAAGCUAACAAGCUAACAAACAUUUGCCAGGGUUCUCUCUGUUUUUAGCACCAAAUAGCAAUGUUAGAAAGCUAGCUUUACCCUCCAACUUUAACAUUUCACAUGCAAACCUUUUAAAAGCUAAAUCCGCAGGGUUAGAAGAGAAAUGUUGAUUUUCAGGUAGCAUAGCAAACAAGCUAGCUAGCACAAGCAUUAGCCUUCAUAGCCAAUGUUAGCUUCUCUCUGUUAUUAGCAGCAAUUAACAAUGUUAGAAAGCUAGCUUUGUCCUCUAGCUUUGAAAUUUCAUGUGCCAACAUUUUUAAAGCUAAAACCCCAGGGACAGAGAUCAAGCUGCAUUCAGCAAUGUUUGAAACUAGCUUUAUCUUCCAACUUUUUCAAGCUAAAACCAGUGUAUUAUCAGGAAGCUAACAAGCUAACAAACAUUUGCCAGGUUCUCUCUGUUUUUAGCACCAAAUAGCAAUGUUAGAAAGCUAGCUUUACCCUCCAACUUUCAUUUUUCACAUGCAAACCUUUUAAAAGCUAAAUCCACAGGGUUAGAAGAGAAAUGUUGAUUUUCAGGUAGCAUAGCAAACAAGCUAGCAAGCACAAGCAUUAGCCCUGGUAGCCAAUGUUAGCUUCUCUGUGUUAUUAGCAGCAAUUAGCAAUGUUAGAAAGCUAGCUUUGUCCUCUAGCUUUGAAAUUUCAUGUGCCAACAUUUUUAAAGCUAAAACCCCAGAGACAGAGAUCAAGCUGCAUUCAGCAAUGUUUGAAACUAGCUUUAUCUUCCAACUUUUUCAAGCUAAAACCAGUGUAUUAUCAGGAAGCUAACAAGCUAACAAACAUUUGCCAGGUUCUCUCUGUUUUUAGCACCAAAUAGCAAUGUUAGAAAGCUAGCUUUACCCUCCAACUUUCAUUUUUCACAUGCAAACCUUUUAAAAGCUAAAUCCACAGGGUUAGAAGAGAAAUGUUGAUUUUCAGGUAGCAUAGCAAACAAGCUAGCAAGCACAAGCAUUAGCCCUGGUAGCCAAUGUUAGCUUCUCUGUGUUAUUAGCAGCAAUUAGCAAUGUUAGAAAGCUAGCUUUGUCCUCUAGCUUUGAAAUUUCAUGUGCCAACAUUUUUAAAGCUAAAACCCCAGAGACAGAGAUCAAGCUGCAUUCAGCAAUGUUUGAAACUAGCUUUAUCUUCCAACUUUUUCAAGCUAAAACCAGUGUAUUAUCAGGAAGCUAACAAGCUAACAAACAUUUGCCAGGUUCUCUCUGUUUUUAGCACCAAAUAGCAAUGUUAGAAAGCUAGCUUUACCCUCCAACUUUCAUUUUUCACAUGCAAACCUUUUAAAAGCUAAAUCCACAGGGUUAGAAGAGAAAUGUUGAUUUUCAGGUAGCAUAGCAAACAAGCUAGCAAGCACAAGCAUUAGCCCUGGUAGCCAAUGUUAGCUUCUCUGUGUUAUUAGCAGCAAUUAGCAAUGUUAGAAAGCUAGCUUUGUCCUCUAGCUUUGAAAUUUCAUGUGCCAACCUUUUAAAAGCUAAAUCCGCAGGGUUAGAAGAGAAAUGUUGAUUUUCAGGUAGCAUAGCAAACAAGCUAGCAAGCUCAGAGACAGAGGGGCUAAUGCUGGAAAUGUGAACCUGACUCCAUUUUGACGUGGAAGUUCAAAAUUUAAGACAAGCAGGGACCAGACAAUUCAAAAAAUAUUUUAAUGUAGGUAUCAGGGACAAGACUUUUAAACACAAUUAAUUGACAUGACAGAGAAAAGCUAGCAUACUCCUUACAAGAUUAAUGUGACUUACUUGUUGCACAUGGUGGGGAACUUUCAGUCAUCUCUCAGUUGUUCCUAUGAAGUGUCCAGGCGGAAACGGUGAAGUCCCUCUGCUCCUGUGAAGGCUCCCACACCUUCUCUGAGACUGCUGACUCCAAACACAUCUCCGGCAGUUGAACCAGUAUGAAAGCUCAUUACUGCCCCCUACUGCACUGGAGACGAUGCCUCAGCAACAACAGCUUGAUGUAGAAAACUUGGUCUGUGCCAGGACUUGAACCUGCAACCUUCCAGAUCCCAAGCCAAGACCUUAUGGACUGAGCUACUGCUUCUUCACCACCCAUGAAAGAAAUGGUCUCCUGCUCAGGACUUCAGUGGCUCCAUAUCCAAGUACAUACCUGGAGGGGGAGGUUUGUUUCCUUUUCAUCUGACUGCUGAAUACACCAGCUCCCAGAGAUUAUAAGCCCUACCCAGAUGGAGAAGCCACCUCUCAUGCUUCCUAAUCCUAGGAAUUGGAGUUGCUGCCAAUGGUUUCCCUCAAUGACUGGAUGUGACACCAGCUGCUGAUGUUCUGUCUGGAUGUCUCAGAUGGACACUAAAGGGUUUGGUUCAGUCAGUAAAGAGCGGAUGUCCCAGGAGCUGGAAUUAGCCCGCAGGGUUCUUUCCUGAGGAUUUUCUUGUACAUCGCUUGGUUUUCAAGCAUCACUCGUGUCUUACAAGUGGGGAACUUGCUGAUCCACCAACAGAUGGGGUCUGGUACUGUCCAGAGGGAGGGCUUGGGAUGUCUUUUCAUUGAUCUGUUGGCAAAUUGACAAAAGUAAUGGAUCAAAUAAUGAAUAACAAGGAAUGUAGCAUCAAUGUGGAAGUCAAGAUGAAUUUUGCAAUAAAUCUACUUAUUCAGGUCCUGAUAA
Notolabrus celidotus (New Zealand spotty) is the source of this 2769-nucleotide long non-coding RNA. RefSeq lists it as uncharacterized. The record is from RefSeq and is a predicted model, not a curated record. Lineage: Eukaryota; Metazoa; Chordata; Actinopteri; Labriformes; Labridae. The transcript has 6 exons.